GACGAACGCUGGCGGCGUGCCUAAUACAUGCAAGUCGAACGCAUUUUCUUUCACCGUAGCUUGCUACACCGAAAGAAAAUGAGUGGCGAACGGGUGAGUAACACGUGGGUAACCUGCCCAUCAGCGGGGGAUAACACUUGGAAACAGGUGCUAAUACCGCAUAAUUCCAUUUACCGCAUGGUAGAUGGAUGAAAGGCGCUUUUGCGUCACUGAUGGAUGGACCCGCGGUGCAUUAGCUAGUUGGUGGGGUAACGGCCUACUAAGGCUGCGAUGCAUAGCCGACCUGAGAGGGUGAUCGGCCACACUGGGACUGAGACACGGCCCAGACUCCUACGGGGGGCAGCAGUAGGGAAUCUUCGGCAAUGGACGCAAGUCUGACCGAGCAACGCCGCGGGAGUGAAGAAGGGUUUCGGAUCGUAAAACUCGGUUGUUAGAGAAGAACAAGGAUGAGAGUGGAAAGUUCAUCCCUUGACGGUAGCUAACCAGAAAGCCACGGCUAACUACGUG
This 507-nucleotide ribosomal RNA is filed under the name uncultured bacterium. RNAcentral describes it as "partial 16S ribosomal RNA". It matches the Rfam family "Bacterial small subunit ribosomal RNA", at positions 28 to 507 of the family's 1533-position model. The record is from RNAcentral.